UAAUCUCUAUAUGACUGGCGGAAAGUGGGAGCACCCACAGGGAGUAUGGAGACACUCUGAUCAUCAGAGUACGAAUGCCGACCGCCUGGGCGCUGAAC
RNAcentral lists this non-coding RNA (98 nucleotides) under Petrocella atlantisensis. RNAcentral's name for it is "ZMP/ZTP riboswitch aptamer (pfl RNA motif)". It matches the Rfam family "ZMP/ZTP riboswitch aptamer (pfl RNA motif)". From Rfam's summary of the family: Previously known as pfl RNA. The record is from Rfam by way of RNAcentral. Lineage: Bacteria; Bacillati; Bacillota; Clostridia; Lachnospirales; Vallitaleaceae.